UACACAUAGCAUAGCAAUCACCCUUGGAAAAACUACAUGGCUUACCAAAAGAGUUCUCUCUGUUCACUGUCCAUUAUCUGUUGACUAUAGUAGUUCAAAUGAAUAGCAAGUAAUGAUCAAAUUACCAGCUUAUAUUUAGCAACAGGGCCUUCUUAUAUUUAAAGAAAAAUGCAAGGAUAAAAUAGAAAAUCCAGACAUGAACUCUUCGGAAUUCAGAUUAUUUUCCUAAUUUAGAUUUCUGGAUAUUCUCUCUGCAAUUGUCUUGGAAAAUAUCACUGAGAAUGUGAAUUACAAGACCCUGUCUUGCCUCGGAUCUCAUCUUCCUCAAUGAAGCUCCAUCCAUAUUGCCCUUUUCAGAGUCCUCAAACAUGUCAAGCUUGCCCUCAUGUCAAGAUAGGCCUGGAACUCCAUGUCCUUUACCACAGUGGUACCUUCCCCUCACCCAUGGAAAGCAACAUGGAUGCACAGAGGAUGUAUACAAUGAUUAGUCAAGCACAUUUCAUCAAUUAAGAACAGGUUUCCAUGAAGUUUGUACAUCUGAAUAACCUGAGUGCUUCUUAGGAAACUUUACUGAUUAUCCUAGCCUUGCAAUAUAAUGUGGCCCUGAUCUGUUUAAUCAAUCAGCAAGUUUUCAAGGAAGUUACUGAGUACAUGACAGUAAUUUCCAGAGGCAAAUUGAUAGAUGCAUGAAUAAGAUCUCAUCCUAAAAAAAGAAAAAGAAUCACCUUCUGAAAGUCCAUGCUAGUUAUCUGAAAUAACAAAGGGGAAGCGCAAACUAUGUGAUCCGUCAGAAUGUGAGAUAAACAUGUGUUGCUACUCUGUGAUUUUGGUCUUUAUCCCAGUCUGACCCAUUUCUUCAGAUUGUUACCUCAAGAUGCUCUCCCAUGGAGUUUGCACUGAGUAUACUUUAAUCCAGUUUCUUAAAAAUCCAUAACAAAUUACUAGGGUCUCAAUGACUUAUCAAAACUCCUAUGUUUCAAAAAUGAUACAUAAGAAUCAUAAUAUUCAGUAAAUGUGAAUAAAGUAUUUCAUACCUGCAGGGUAGAAUUUUUCCACUGGAGCAGAACAAGAAAAAAAAAAUAAAAGUACACAUGCCAAGACUAGAACCUUGUUGUCACUCUAAAGUGUAUUCCUUCUAAAUUUACUAACUCAAACAUCCCAUGCUUCCAGUGUGGAUCUCUUAACCUCCCAUUUUGCUUGCACAAUCCCCCCAUUAGUACUGGUCUUCAUGCUCUUCAAGACCUCUGUUAUAUUCUGUGUUCCAAAGUGGUUAAAUUGAAGACACCAGAACUAGACUAUCUAAUGGUUCGAAUUGCUGAUGUUAUUUAUUACCUGUAUAAUCUUAGGUAUGAUUCUCUUUACUGUAAAAUUAGUGUAAGAAUAACAUCUCACAUUUAAGUAAUAAUAAUACCUACAUCAUAGGACUGUCAUAAGAAUUAAGUGAGUAAAAAAAUGUUAAGUAUUUAGAUGAGUUCUUGGCA
Molecule: long non-coding RNA, 1481 nt
Organism: Zalophus californianus (California sea lion)
Lineage: Eukaryota; Metazoa; Chordata; Mammalia; Carnivora; Otariidae
Exons: 4
Source: RefSeq, a predicted model, not a curated record